CAGUAAAAUGUAAUAAUUAAUAUAUUAUCACCAGACUUUGAGCCUCAUUUGUUAAAAAAACAAUGAUAAAUGCUCAAAAGUCAACUUUGAAUCUGCUUUAUCAUUUUAAUCUGCUUUCCCUAUCAUUUUUAGUUAAACUCUAGAAGAGAAAAAUGUUUUCAGUUUUAUUUUUCCUGCUGUUACUUUCUUCAUGUUACUUGUCAGAGCCACCCAUAAAAAAAGAACAAGCAAAACCAUUAGAAUGGAUUAUUAAAACGCCGUGCAUUAAAUCCUAUGUGCUCAUCAAAGGAAUAUGUCGAAUUAUUGUAAUCCAUAGAAAUUACACCAUAUCACAUCAAACAGGUAAGUCGUCAUCACGCUUAAAACCAUAACCACGCCUUGAUUCGCCAAAUGGUUUUCGUUCAGAAUCUUCCCGCCUAUCACCAAAAGGUCUUCUACUGCUAUCGAAAUCAUCAUGUCGUCGGUCACCAAAUGGUCGUCGUCCACCAUCAACGUCAUCAGAACGUCUAUCGCCAAAAGGCCUUCUUCCACUCUCAAAUUCAUCGGGUCGACGGUCACUGAAUGGUCUUCUGCCAGCCGGAACAUCAUCACUGACAUUUUGCCUACUUCCUCUCCACGGUCCACUGUCUCUUUCGCUGUCGUGAUCUUUGUCAAAAGCACCACCUCCUUGUCUUCUUGUGAAACCUAUUAAUUAUAAUCACGUAAAUUAAUAAAUUUUGUUGCUAAUAAUAAA
This is a long non-coding RNA of Adelges cooleyi (spruce gall adelgid), 733 nucleotides long. RefSeq lists it as uncharacterized. The transcript has 2 exons. NCBI's taxonomy places the organism in Eukaryota, Metazoa, Arthropoda, Insecta, Hemiptera, Adelgidae. The record is from RefSeq and is a predicted model, not a curated record.